Molecule: RNA transcript, 2328 nt
Organism: Lathyrus oleraceus (garden pea)
Lineage: Eukaryota; Viridiplantae; Streptophyta; Magnoliopsida; Fabales; Fabaceae
Exons: 6
Source: RefSeq, a predicted model, not a curated record
AUUUUUUAAAAUUAGUCUUUAUAUAUAUAAAAAAGAUAGUAUUAUUUAAUAUCAAUGUAGCCAAUGGUAAAUAUCAAUACCUAUAAAAAAAUUGAUCUUUUAGUCAUUUUGCACCAAACCCCUUACUUUUAAUAUUAAUACAUUGGAACAAUGUCUCUCAUACAUUACUUUCACUGAUAAUCUCACUUCUCAGUUUUCUCUUAAGGUUGAAUUAAUCGUCUUUAUUUUACCCUUAACUCUUUCAUUUUAUAUUUUAUUGUUCCCGAAUCAUUUAUCAAUAAAAUCAACUUCUUUUUAAAUUAUUAUUUUCCUUGAUUUUUCAUGACAUUUAAUGGAUAGAUUUCACUUCAAAUUAUUAACCGACAAAGUUUUCUUUUUUAAGAUCUUUGAAGUUUAUUUUUUAUUGCAAAUAUGUUUACAACUCUAAUCAAGCAUUUAUGAACGAAAACAUGUUCUUAUUUGAACUAUCAUAUUUUCCAUCGGUUUUCACCUAGAUUUCUUUUUAUUUUUAUGGUUUUUCAACUUUUGUUUCCUGUGCAUGUGUAUUUUUAAGUUUAAUUUUGCUCCAGUUAAUUGAUUCUGAAUAGAAUUACCUUUUUCAUUUUUUUUACAACAAUGUCAUGUUUUUUUCUUUUGCAUAUUAUGAACUAUAUUCAUAAUGUAUGAGUGUUUUACACUUGAAUCAACCUUCGAACCUUUCGUUUAGUAAGAGUUUCAGGUCGUUUUAGUGAAAACACAUUUUUCCAAUUUAUUUUUCACCAACAAUCUUUUAUUUUUAUGGUUUAUGAACUGUAUUUGAGAUGGAAAAAUCACUUUAAUCCGCCUUGACGGAUACUUUUAUGAAUUUUUGAGGUCUUUUCGGUAAGUAAGAUAUUUUUCAUGUUUUUUUGCCAACAAUUUUAUGAUUGUGAGGGUUGUCAAGUGUAUUUCAUUUGCAUGUCUAUUUCGUAGUUUAAUAUAUCUUUAAACUUUCAUCUUACUCCUUUCAUUUUACUUUUUCUUCUAUUGUUUUUCACCCUGACCUUGCUAACAUAUUUUUUUAUUUUUUUUAUCUUUUACUUUAAAACAAGUUCAUAUCUUUGAAAAAAGUGAUUGUACAAUGAAAAGACCAUUUGAUUCAAUCAAGAACAUUGGCGAUUCGAAAGAUUUGUGAAAACUUGUUCGUAUAUAAGAUCUUUGGCAUGUUACGCAAUCCUCAAAACUUAAACGCGUGAAGUUUAUAAGGGAGACAAGAUACAGGUUGUUGUCCCAUCGGAAUUUUGCUCGCUUUGAAAAUCUAUUUUGACAUAAGGAUCUUCAUAUCUUAUGCAGAGCUUUAAGAUUCAAGAAAAUGAUUUUACACUAAAGUCAUGUGAUCAUCGUUUUAAACUCUUCUUCAUAGGCGGUGAUGGAGGUUAUAAAGUCACUCCUAAGGACUUUCCUGAUAUCCCUUUCUAUAAGUUUAACUUCAAAAGUUUUUUGAAAUCAACAAUGGCAAAUGUCGUCCUGAUCUAUUACUUGCAUCAACAACAUUACCUGUACUCUUUUGGGAGUAUAUGCCGAAAAGUUUUUAGCUGGACUCAACAUCCGUGAUCCAUCGUUUCCUUUCAUUGUUAUUUUGAAACAUGCCAAAAAUUAAGGAGCCUCAAGGUAUAGAGUUGAAGUUGAAGUGUGUUGUGAUAAUCAUAAGUUCAAGUUUAUUUUCUGGGAUAAGGACUGCACAAAGUUAAUAGGAAAAAUAGUUAAGGAACUCUGUUCUAUAAUGAUUAAGGAAAAAGAGUUUGAUCCCCAUGAGUACAUUGUUCUUCUUGACUUAAUGAUGGGGAAAGAGACAUCCUUUAAGGUCAAAGCACAACCAAGAUUUAAGCAGGGAUUUGUACUCAAUUAUAAGACAGACCCAAAGAUCAUUGAGCAUUUGAAAGAUUGUUUUGCAUGUUCAACCAAUUCCCUUGUACCAAUGAUUUCUCAAUCAGAACUUUCACGUAUUUCAGACUUUGAUCCUAACCUCACUAAAACAAAUACCCCUGUCAAAUGGCCUGUUACUGAACCCUUUGUUGAAGGUCAUGUUUCAUCUAAUAAAAAAACCAAGAAACUUAUCAAAAAUAUCAAGAGGGAAAAGAUUAUUCCAACAAACCUCAAUAUUUAAAUCCUAUUUCUAUUUUCAAAUUCAAACAAUGUGAGUGACAUUUUUUGGAAAUAAUGACAACUUUUUGUUUAAUUUGGAACCUUUUGUAUGUAAUGACUGCCACCUGUUGUAAAUUAAAUAUCAAUGCACAAUAUGGUUGUUGUUAAUCUUUUGUUUGACAACAACCUCUAAUCUAUAUAUAAAAAUAUUGAAUUUCCUUUGUA